This 253-nucleotide long non-coding RNA is filed under the name Ananas comosus (pineapple). RNAcentral's name for it is "long non-coding RNA (ACOM_LNC038271)". The record is from RNAcentral. Lineage: Eukaryota; Viridiplantae; Streptophyta; Magnoliopsida; Poales; Bromeliaceae.
CCAAACCUUCUUCUCUUUCUUCUCCGUCCUUUUCUUCCUCUCUUUUUCCUUCUUUUUCCUUCUCUUUUCCUUUUCUUCUUCUUCUCCUUCUAUUCGGCUAGAGAGAGAGAGAGAGUAGAGAGAGAGUGAGCUGAGGGGAGUGAGAGGCUGAGAGAGAGGUGUAUAAAACCUCUAUUGUAACAAUAUCCAAAAGAGCCCCUCAACUUUUCUAUUUUCCAAAACAGCCCUGCUGUUCGUGUGCCCUUGUACCGGU